GUGAUAACUUUAACGGCCGCGGUAUUCUAACCGUGCAAAGGUAGCGUAAUCAUUUGUCUUCUAAAUAAAGACCUGUAUGAACGGCUAAAUGAGGACAGCACUGUCUUUUAUAACUAAUCAGUGAAAUUGAUCUACCAGUACAAAAGCUGGAAUAAAAACAUAAGACGAGAAGACCCUGUGGAGCUUUAAACCAACCCUUAAUAAGCACGAAAUCCAAGCCUGCCAAUAACGGGGCGUUUUGAGUUGGGGCGACUUCGGAAUAAAACAAAACUUCCAAGCACAGAGACACACACUCUUACUGCGGCUAACAGGCCAAGGUAAAACAUACCAGAUCCAGUACCACUGAUCAACGAACCAAGUUACCCCAGGGAUAACAGCGCCAUCUUCUUCAAGAGUUCCUAUCGACAAGAAGGUUUACGACCUCGAUGUUGGAUCAGGACACCCAAAUGGUGCAGCUGCUAUUAACGGUUCGUUUGUUCAACGAUUAACAGUCCUACGUGAUCUGA
RNAcentral lists this ribosomal RNA (506 nucleotides) under Madascincus sp. CaNew Betampona. RNAcentral describes it as "partial large subunit ribosomal RNA". It matches the Rfam family "Bacterial large subunit ribosomal RNA", at positions 1912 to 2608 of the family's 2925-position model. The record is from RNAcentral. Lineage: Eukaryota; Metazoa; Chordata; Lepidosauria; Squamata; Scincidae.